GUGAGGAAUAUUGGUCAAUGGACGAAAGUCUGAACCAGCCAAGUAGCGUGCAGGAUGACGGCCCUCUGGGUUGUAAACUGCUUUUAGUUGGGAAUAAAAAAGAGGACGUGUCCUCUAUUGUAUGUACCUUCAGAAAAAGGACCGGCUAAUUCCGUGCCAGCAGCCGCGGUAAUACGGAAGGUCCAGGCGUUAUCCGGAUUUAUUGGGUUUAAAGGGAGCGUAGGCGGAUUAUUAAGUCAGUGGUGAAAGACGGUGGCUCAACCAUCGUUAGCCAUUGAAACUGGUAGUCUUGAGUGCAGACAGGGAUGCUGGAACUCGUGGUGUAGCGGUGAAAUGCUUAGAUAUCACGAUGAACUCCGAUCGCGAAGGCAGGUGUCCGGGCUGCAACUGACGCUGAGGCUCGAAAGUGUGGGUAUCAAACAGG
RNAcentral lists this ribosomal RNA (424 nucleotides) under uncultured bacterium. RNAcentral describes it as "bacterial SSU rRNA". It matches the Rfam family "Bacterial small subunit ribosomal RNA", at positions 354 to 776 of the family's 1533-position model. RNAcentral also lists the same sequence under 1 other name. The record is from RNAcentral.